This 430-nucleotide small RNA is filed under the name Pan troglodytes (chimpanzee). RNAcentral's name for it is "retained intron". The record is from RNAcentral. Lineage: Eukaryota; Metazoa; Chordata; Mammalia; Primates; Hominidae.
UUUGUCAUUUUGGGUGUGUGUCUUAGAAACCUGCUCUACGAACUGUCAGAAGGCAUUGACUCAGAGAACUUAAAGGACAUGAUCUUCCUUCUGAAAGACUCGCUUCCCAAAACUGAAAUGACCUCCCUAAGUUUCCUGGCAUUUCUAGAGAAACAAGGUAAAAUAGAUGAAGAUAAUCUGACAUGCCUGGAGGACCUCUGCACAACAGUUGUACCUAAACUUUUGAGAAACAUAGAGAAAUACAAAAGAGAGAAAGCUGUCCAGAUAGUGACACCUCCUGUAGACAAGGAAGCCGAGUCGUAUCAAGGAGAGGAAGAACUAGUUUCCCAAACAGACGUUAAGACAUUCUUGGAAGCCUUACCGGUAGGUUCAGUGGUGUGCUGGUCAAUGCUUAACAACCGGCUCCACCCUCCAACCUCCCCUCCCCGCC